Molecule: long non-coding RNA, 810 nt
Organism: Xenopus laevis (African clawed frog)
Lineage: Eukaryota; Metazoa; Chordata; Amphibia; Anura; Pipidae
Exons: 4
Source: RefSeq, a predicted model, not a curated record
AAAUUUAGCAUGUUGCGUCUCAAUCUGUACAGCCCCAUUGAAAACAACUGCAUGCGUCUACUCCUGCGCUCCCCUGUAAUGAGGUUUAGUAAUGUCAUGAUCUAGAUCAACUCAAUAAUGUCUGAAAUCCAUUAAUUCCUAGGUCAGUUGUUUGGCCUUAAUAUGUUUGCCUUGUCAUGAGUGUUAUAUGUCAGGUCUUUAUAACCAAUCUCGAUUAUUAGGCCUUAUAUGAUUGAUGUGAAAUGAAAUUGUUUGGAAUGGAUAUCUGGAAAGUAAACAAUUUUUUAUACUUUUCUUCCAAAUGAACAGCCUGCUGAUGGUGAUGUGCUGAUGUGCCCCUAGCAGUGAAUGCUUUCCUGUAACAUCUUAUGCUCUUUCUGGCCUACUACUGUGUUAUGGUUAUACUUCACGUGUGUAAAACUCUACUUUAUUAUCUUGGUACUUGCCCACAGAGGAUACAGACAUGGACACUGACUGAUUGGCCACGCCUCAAACUCCGUUAUUCAGCCUCUCCAUGUGCAAACUUUUCCUGAAGCACUAAAUUGGACUCAACACAAGUGACAGAUGUGAUGAACUGACAGCUGUUUGGCUCAUUUGAACCUGGGUGGAGUCACCUUUCAAAAACAUAUCAGUAUGGCUUCUUCUGUUUUCUUGUUUGAAAUGACAUUACCCAUGUUACUAUUUUGGACUAGCACCUUGUCAAAAAAAAAAAACAAACACACCCGGUAAUGUUUUAGUACCUUUACUGACACAAUCUUUGUCAAAAUCCAAAACAGUUGAACAACAAUAAAAAGACAAUAUAUAUCUGUA